Molecule: ribosomal RNA, 254 nt
Filed under: uncultured bacterium
Lineage: Bacteria
Description: partial 16S ribosomal RNA
Source: RNAcentral
CUGCUGCCUCCCGUAGGAGUUUGGGCCGUGUCUCAGUCCCAAUGUGGCCGUCCACCCUCUCAGGCCGGCUACCGAUCGUCGGCUUGGUGAGCCGUUACCCCACCAACUACCUAAUCGGACGCGGGCCCAUCUCACACUGCAAAAGCUUUCCACACCGAAUCAUGCGAUUCUGUGCGCCUAUGCGGUAUUAGCAGCCGUUUCCAGNUGUUGUCCCCCUGUGUGAGGCAGGUUGCCCAGCGUUACUCACCCGUCCG